Acanthosepion pharaonis is the source of this 99-nucleotide non-coding RNA. The record is from the annotation of a GenBank genome assembly. Lineage: Eukaryota; Metazoa; Mollusca; Cephalopoda; Sepiida; Sepiidae.
AUUGAAACACCAGUUUUCAUACAACCACCAAAGUUAAGCAACAAUGAGCCUAGUCAGUACUCAGAUGGGCAACCACUUGGGAAUAGCAGAUGCUGUAAG